RNAcentral lists this ribosomal RNA (201 nucleotides) under uncultured bacterium. RNAcentral's name for it is "partial 16S ribosomal RNA". It matches the Rfam family "Bacterial small subunit ribosomal RNA", at positions 1301 to 1500 of the family's 1533-position model. The record is from RNAcentral.
UAGUCUGCAACCCGACUACAUGAAGCUGGAAUCGCUAGUAAUCGCGGAUCAGAAUGCCGCGGUGAAUACGUUCCCGGGUCUUGUACACACCGCCCGUCACACCAUGGGAGUCGGAAAUGCCCGAAGCCGGUGACCUGACCUUUCAGGAAGGAGCCGUCGAAGGCAGGUCUGAUAACUGGGGUGAAGUCGUAACAAGGUAGC